This 423-nucleotide ribosomal RNA is filed under the name uncultured bacterium. Its description in RNAcentral is "bacterial SSU rRNA". It matches the Rfam family "Bacterial small subunit ribosomal RNA", at positions 207 to 622 of the family's 1533-position model. The record is from RNAcentral.
CAAGACCUGCGCUUUUGGAGCGGCCGAUGCCUGAUUAGCUUGUUGGUAAGGUAAAAGCUUACCAAGGCUUCGAUCAGUAGCUGGUCUGAGAGGACGGCCAGCCACACUGGGACUGAGACACGGCCCAGACUCCCACGGGAGGCAGCAGUGGGGAAUUUUGGACAAUGGGGGCAACCCUGAUCCAGCCAUGCCGCGUGAGUGAAGAAGGCCUUCGGGUUGUAAAGCUCUUUCAGCCGGAACGAAACGGUUACGGUUAAUACCCGUGACUACUGACGGUACCGGAAGAAGAAGCACCGGCUAACUACGUGCCAGCAGCCGCGGUAACACGUAGGGUGCGAGCGUUAAUCGGAAUUACUGGGCGUAAAGCGUGCGCAGGUGGUUUUGUAAGUCAGAUGUGAAAGCCCCGGGCUCAACCUGGGAACU